UGCAGUUGACUUCAAGGCAAGAAGGCCUGAGAUCCCAAGUAUUGUAAAUAGACAUGUGGCUGCCAUAAUUGAGUCCUGUUGGGCCAGCGAGCCAUGGAAAAGGCCUUCUUUUUCUAGUAUCAUGGAAUCCUUGAAGCCUCUAAUCAAGACUCAGUCACCUCAACCGUUACAUUCUGAUAUGUCUAGUAUCCAAUAGCCAGAUGAUUGCAUAUUCCUAAGAGAGAUGUGUAUUGUAUCUAUUCUACUUGUCAAAAAGGGUCCCCUUCAAAUUUUGCCUGUCAGAGGAUCAGUGCCAAUGAAGCUGCUGCCAGUUUUCAUUGCAUCACCGCCAACACGUUUGAUCUAAUCAGCUAUAGAUAUUUUUCAGUAAAUUGAAGUUCCAUUCGCGUUUAUAUGUAUAUUUUGUUUAACCCAGGUGCAUUAUAUUUUUAUCCGAGCUUACAUUGAAAAAAGCUUAUUAGGAAAGAGCACAAGCCUUUUGAGGUUGUGUUGCAAUUUCAAAGUGAUAUCAGCAUGGAACUUGUAUAUUGCUAGCCUUUUACCGUCAGUUAUCUAAUCAAAUGUGUGCAUUCUGAA
Zingiber officinale is the source of this 576-nucleotide long non-coding RNA. RefSeq lists it as uncharacterized. The record is from RefSeq and is a predicted model, not a curated record. Lineage: Eukaryota; Viridiplantae; Streptophyta; Magnoliopsida; Zingiberales; Zingiberaceae. The transcript is spliced from 3 exons.